GACGAACGCUGGCGGCGUGCUUAACACAUGCAAGCCGAACGGAAAGGCCCCUUUGGGGGUACUCGAGUGGCGAACGGGUGAGUAACACGUGAGUAACCUGCCCUUGACUUCGGGAUAACUUCAGGAAACUGGGGCUAAUACCGGAUAGGAAUCCUUGCUGCAUGGUGGGGGUUGGAAAGCUUCGGCGGUUUUGGAUGGACUCGCGGCUUAUCAGCUUGUUGGUGGGGUAGUGGCUUACCAAGGCUUUGACGGGUAGCCGGCCUGAGAGGGCGACCGGCCACAUUGGGACUGAGAUACGGCCCAGACUCCUACGGGAGGCAGCAGUGGGGAAUAUUGCACAAUGGGCGGAAGCCUGCUGCAGCAACGCCGCGUGCGGGAUGACGGCCUUUGGGUUGUAAACCGCUUUCAGCAGGGGCGAAGCUUGUGGUGACGGUACCUGCAGAAGAAGCACCGGCUAACUACGUG
This 465-nucleotide ribosomal RNA is filed under the name uncultured bacterium. RNAcentral describes it as "partial 16S ribosomal RNA". It matches the Rfam family "Bacterial small subunit ribosomal RNA", at positions 28 to 507 of the family's 1533-position model. The record is from RNAcentral.